RNAcentral lists this ribosomal RNA (697 nucleotides) under uncultured bacterium. RNAcentral describes it as "bacterial SSU rRNA". It matches the Rfam family "Bacterial small subunit ribosomal RNA", at positions 90 to 783 of the family's 1533-position model. The record is from RNAcentral.
CGCGAGUGGCGAACGGGUGAGUAAUAUAUCGGAACGUGCCUAGUAAUGGGGAAUAACUAGCUGAAAGGUUAGCUAAUGCCGCAUACGACCUACGGGUGAAAGCAGGGGAUCUUCGGACCUUGCGUUAUUAGAGCGGCCGAUAUCUGAUUAGCUUGUUGGUGGGGUAAUGGCCUACCAAGGCGACGAUCAGUAGCUGGUCUGAGAGGACGAUCAGCCACACUGGAACUGAGACACGGUCCAGACUCCUACGGGAGGCAGCAGUGGGGAAUUUUGGACAAUGGGGGCAACCCUGAUCCAGCCAUUCCGCGUGAGUGAAGAAGGCCUUCGGGUUGUAAAGCUCUUUCGCAAGAGAAGAAAACUUGCUAUUUAAUAAAUAGUAAGUAUGACGGUAUCUUGACAAGAAGCACCGGCUAACUACGUACCAGCAGCCGCGGUAAUACGUAGGGUGCAAGCGUUAAUCGGAAUUACUGGGCGUAAAGCGUGCGCAGGCAGUUUUAUAAGUCAGAUGUGAAAUCCCCGAGCUCAACUUGGGAACUGCGUUUGAAACUGCAAGACUAGAGUGUGUCAGAGGGGGGUAGAAUUCCAAGUGUAGCAGUGAAAUGCGUAGAGAUUUGGAGGAAUACCAAUGGCGAAGGCAGCCCCCUGGGAUAACACUGACGCUCAUGCACGAAAGCGUGGGGAGCAAACAGGAUUAGAC